This 242-nucleotide long non-coding RNA is filed under the name Mytilus galloprovincialis (Mediterranean mussel). The record is from RNAcentral. Lineage: Eukaryota; Metazoa; Mollusca; Bivalvia; Mytilida; Mytilidae.
CUGCUUCCUCUGGAACCAUACACAUGGGUUCGAUUACCAAAUAUUCGUAUGUAUUAUUAAUGUUUUUAAUGCUCCAUUUAUUGGCAUUAUGUUUUUCUGGUCUGUGCGUACGUUCGUCCGUUCGUCUGUUUGUUUGUCCGUUUGUCCAGCUUCAAGUUAAAUAAAAUUGAAACUUAGUACACAUUUUCCCUAUGGUAUGAUCUUUUUAAUUCUAAUGCCAAAUUACAGUUUUAUCCCAUUUU